UCUUGGGGACGCCUGCCAUGCAAGAUGAAUGUCGGGCCAGCGCGGAGCCAGGCCUCUGGCAAAGAGCCGGCGGGAGGUCUCCACGCGUCCUGCGCAGGUUCGGUCGUUCCCGUGCACUCCAACCCGGCGUCAGGCAGCGCAUGCGGGAAGCGGCGGGUCGCCUGCGCAGGGGGCGGGCGCUGAGCUCAGCACUUUCGGCGCGCUCCCGUGCGCGCCCCCGCCGCCCCGCACAAGGUCACUGCGCGCGGCGGCCGGCGCGUCUCCCCCAGGCAGCUCCCAGGAGCCGCCCCGCGACCUUGGUUUCCAACUAAAGCAGGCUGUGUGAAGCGCGUUCGGCGCAGGAAGACCCCAGUGCCGGGCAGGAGCGCGAGAGGGGACAAUGGCGACGCCGGGCCCUAAUUGGGGACAUAUGUACCCGCGUGCAGCCAUUGUGAGGCCGCGAGCCCCGCGCCCCGCCAUUGGCCAUUGGGCCUGACGUCAUGUGGACUGCAAACUCCGGGCGGGCGGCCGCGGGAAGGGUUAUCCGCCUGUUUGCGGGGCCGUGG
This 545-nucleotide long non-coding RNA is filed under the name Marmota monax (woodchuck). The record is from RNAcentral. Lineage: Eukaryota; Metazoa; Chordata; Mammalia; Rodentia; Sciuridae.